GACGAACGCUGGCGGCGUGCUUAACACAUGCAAGUCGAACGGAAAGGCCCUGCUUUUGUGGGGUGCUCGAGUGGCGAACGGGUGAGUAACACGUGAGUAACCUGCCCUUGACUUUGGGAUAACUUCAGGAAACUGGGGCUAAUACCGGAUAGGAGCUCCUGCUGCAUGGUGGGGGUUGGAAAGUUUCGGCGGUUGGGGAUGGACUCGCGGCUUAUCAGCUUGUUGGUGGGGUAGUGGCUUACCAAGGCUUUGACGGGUAGCCGGCCUGAGAGGGUGACCGGCCACAUUGGGACUGGGGAACCGCCCAGGCCCCUACGGGAGGCAGCAGUGGGGAAUAUUGCACAAUUGGCGGAAGCCUUAUGCAGCAACGCCGGGGGCGGGAUGACGGCCUUCGGGGUGGAAACCGCUUUCGCCUGUGACGAAGCGUGAGUGACGGUAAUGGGUUAAGAAGCACCGGCUAACUACGUG
Molecule: ribosomal RNA, 468 nt
Filed under: uncultured bacterium
Lineage: Bacteria
Description: partial 16S ribosomal RNA
Rfam family: Bacterial small subunit ribosomal RNA
Source: RNAcentral